This 428-nucleotide ribosomal RNA is filed under the name uncultured bacterium. RNAcentral describes it as "bacterial SSU rRNA". It matches the Rfam family "Bacterial small subunit ribosomal RNA", at positions 354 to 796 of the family's 1533-position model. The record is from RNAcentral.
GUGGGGAAUAUUGGGCAAUGGGCGCAAGCCUGACCCAGCAACGCCGCGUGAGGGAAGAAGGCCUUCGGGUUGUAAACCUCUGUCCUAUGGGAAGAAGAAAGUGACGGUACCAUAGGAGGAAGCUCCGGCUAACUACGUGCCAGCAGCCGCGGUAAUACGUAGGGAGCAAGCGUUGUCCGGAAUUACUGGGCGUAAAGGGUGCGUAGGCGGUUGUUUAAGUCAGAUGUGAAAUACCCGAGCUUAACUCGGGGGCUGCAUCUGAUACUGGAUAACUAGAGUGCAGGAGAGGAAAGUGGAAUUCCUAGUGUAGCGGUGGAAUGCGUAGAUAUUAGGAGGAACACCAGUGGCGAAGGCGACUUUCUGGACUGUAACUGACGCUGAGGCACGAAAGUAUGGGUAGCAAACAGGAUUAGAAACCCUGGUAGUCC